This 1144-nucleotide long non-coding RNA is filed under the name Homo sapiens (human). RNAcentral describes it as "HSALNT0007292". Lineage: Eukaryota; Metazoa; Chordata; Mammalia; Primates; Hominidae. The record is from RNAcentral.
CUCGGCCGUUCCUCCGCGGCGGGGGCUGCUCCGGACGCCCCACGUCUCGGGCCUGGGAUUCAGCCUGUGAGGUGGGGGCGGCCGGGGCGGCGGCUGCCGGGAGGGGCUCAUUGUUCUGCCGGCCGCUUUGACUUCAUUUUCUGCUUUUCAUCCCAGGCCGGGACGGUUUAGAAUGCAAAUGCGGGCUGCUUUUGUAGCUGUGCGUUUGUCUGGGAGCCGUGCGUUUGUCUGGGGUGAGAUCACAGCAAAAGGGUUUUGUUUGGCUUUUUAAAUUCUUCUGGGGAGAGCAAAAGAAGCUGGAGGAGCGCUGGGCGCAGAAGACCUCCCGGGCGGGAAGGCGGGGCAGGCAUGGGCCCAAUGGGAGCAGCCGUCGGCUUCUGCAGGCCUGGUUUGGAAAGGAACCGGGUCAGAAGGGUGUUGUUGAACAUUAACUCCUUGUGGCCUGGCGGAUGGGGAGUUGGGGGUUUCCAAGCUGCUCACCCCAGAACAUGCAGUCCACUAAUACUGUAUUUCGUGCUUCCUUUGUGCCACACCCUGGGGACAUUUCCAAAGAGAAAGGUGACGUCCAGCCCUUUCACGUGACUGCAUCUAAGUGUCCUCUGCCAGAAGUGGAUAUUCGGGCACUUCAUCCUCACGACCCUGUGUUAUGAGGACUCUGAGGAUCAGAGAGGCUAAGUGAAUCACCUGAGGAAGAGCCAGUCUUUGAAAUUGAGGGGUGAGUAGAUUAACUACAGGUCUACACCAGACAGUUACACUGUCAGUGUUCUUUAUUUCUUACAAAGCCUUUUUUCCUUCUAAGGUCUAGGUUAAGACCUCCAGUGACUCUGCAAAGUAGACCAAGCGUGUAUGGCUAUCCCCAUUUAACAGUUGAAUAAGUAGAGCUUUGGAGAUAUGAAUGAUGUAUCUCAGUUCACAGAGCCAAAAAGUUGUCCUCUUUCCAUAACUCCAGAGCAUUUUCUACAAUCAUCCUCAGUUUGAAUAUCUGGUCUUGUGGUGGGUAGGGCAGAUAGGUCAUCCCUGUAUAAGUCAUGUGUCCCAGGGGCAGAGAGAGGCCAAGUGACUUGGUUGAGAUGACUGUGCUGACAGCAAAAAUAAGAAUCUGGGUUUCCUGACUCCCUGUCUGUUGCUCCUCUUUUCUCUUCCA